AGUGAACGCUGGCGGUAGGCCUAACACAUGCAAGUCGAACGGCAGCACAGGAGAGCUUGCUCUCUAGGUGGCGAGUGGCGGACGGGUGAGGAAUACAUCGGAAUCUGCCCAGUCGUGGGGGAUAACGUAGGGAAACUUACGCUAAUACCGCAUACGACCUUCGGGUGAAAGAGGGGGAUCGCAAGACCUCUCGCGAUUGGAUGAGCCGAUGUCGGAUUAGCUAGUUAGCGGGGUAAUGGCCCACCAAGGCGACGAUCCGUAGCUGGUCUGAGAGGAUGAUCAGCCACACUGGAACUGAGACACGGUCCAGACUCCUACGGGAGGCAGCAGUGGGGAAUAUUGGACAAUGGGCGCAAGCCUGAGCCAGCCAUACCGCGUGGGUGAAGAAGGCCUUCGGGUUGUAAAGCCCUUUUGUUGGGAAAGAAAUCUUUCAGGCUAAUACCCUGGGAGGAUGACGGUACCCAAAGAAUAAGCACCGGCUAACUUCGUG
RNAcentral lists this ribosomal RNA (490 nucleotides) under uncultured bacterium. RNAcentral describes it as "partial 16S ribosomal RNA". It matches the Rfam family "Bacterial small subunit ribosomal RNA", at positions 29 to 507 of the family's 1533-position model. The record is from RNAcentral.